GUGCGAAACCCCAGCCGGCCGCCCUCGGUCGGUGGGUCGGUCAGGCGUGGCUGCCUGGCCCUGAUGAUGCAGCCCGAG
RNAcentral lists this non-coding RNA (78 nucleotides) under Streptomyces sp. RK76. The record is from RNAcentral. RNAcentral also lists the same sequence under 4 other names. Lineage: Bacteria; Bacillati; Actinomycetota; Actinomycetes; Kitasatosporales; Streptomycetaceae.